Molecule: long non-coding RNA, 878 nt
Organism: Gallus gallus (chicken)
Lineage: Eukaryota; Metazoa; Chordata; Aves; Galliformes; Phasianidae
Source: Ensembl
CUGCCUCCUGCCCCGCCGCUUUGCGACUGCUUCACAGAGCAGCUGAGCUCCUUCCGACCCUCCUGGUUUGCACCGAAAGUCCCUCGCUGGGCUGCGGGUCAUCCCCGCUUUUCAAGUGUAAUAAUCGGCUCUGGGUUUCCUUUCUGUCACCUUCAGAAAUGUGCGCUAAUUACCUGUAACUCCGAGUGCCACUAAAGAGAUUGCAUUGCACAGUAGCGUGGAGGAGCCUGCCCAAGUGUCUGCCCUGGAGAAUCUGUGAUCACGGGGAAAAUCUUCAGCUUCAGCACACGUGACCCAUUUUCUCCACAUGGAGGUCAUUCUUCUGAUUUCAUCAUCCCUUUUGGAUGGCUGAAGAGAGAAAGGAAGGCGCUAGAUAUAUGUAUUCUGGUUUCUCACUUAGCACUGUGGUGGUUUGAACAUCAUUUUUGUGAUGUGGAGCCUUCUUGCUGCACUGACGCACACAGCCUCCUGCUUCCUUUGGAGCAGCGCCGGCUCACGGCACCAAAGCUGAUGCCAUUGCUGCUCCAGCUGGGCAUAAAACAGAGGGAAUAAAAAGGAAAAACAAGAGCAUCUCUCCAGCACGGACAGACACGGGCAAAACGUCACAGCCCUGAGGAGGUACCUCAGCAUCAUGGGGUAGGGGACUUGGGCAGCAUAACCCCCUUCUCUCUUGGUCCCACCUGCUGGAGCCCAGCACUGCGACUGUUGCUUUCACUGAAAGGAUGAGAUGGAACUAAAUGCAGCUGCAGUGACAUUCGUGGUCAUCCCUUACCUCCGAGGCAGGGCCGGGCUGGGAGCUGGGCUCUUGCUCACCCUGCCCUGUGCCGUGGCUCAGCCCCACCUCCUGCCGUGCACAAAACUUUGUGUGUGCAGCUCCG